AGUUUGUAUUAUUUAUAAGAGUAUAGCUGGCGAUCAUGCCCUGUCCAUCCCAUCCUAUCGUCAGGGUUGAAAAUGAAUAAUUCCUUUUAGGUAAACGGUUAUCGUUACAAAAGGAAUAAGUCAGAGUCGCAGCAAGUAAACCCCUCUUGCCAUGUUAUUUCAUCAUGCACAAACGUCAAUGUUUCAGGGAUUGUACUCUGUUACUUUUUAAAAAACCACUCGUACAGAUCGUAAUACUUUAUAAGCGUAAAAUGAAUUAUUAAACGAAUAAAAGAAUAAACACAAGGCGUACUUAUAACAAAAUUAAAGUGGUAAUAUUCGAAGGUAACCAUUAUCGAUAUUUUCACAAAAUGAAAAAUUGAAGACGAAAAAAUACAUAUAAUACUUGUAAAAUAAGAAUUUGUACGUCUUUGUAAUAAAAAUGACUGAAAAUGAAAAACGUUGGGCCACAGACGCUACAAA
Long non-coding RNA from Planococcus citri (citrus mealybug), 462 nucleotides. RefSeq lists it as uncharacterized. NCBI's taxonomy places the organism in Eukaryota, Metazoa, Arthropoda, Insecta, Hemiptera, Pseudococcidae. The record is from RefSeq and is a predicted model, not a curated record. The transcript has 2 exons.